Podarcis muralis (Common wall lizard) is the source of this 103-nucleotide small nuclear RNA. NCBI's taxonomy places the organism in Eukaryota, Metazoa, Chordata, Lepidosauria, Squamata, Lacertidae. The record is from Ensembl.
UGCUCGCUUCGGCAGCAAUAUACUAAAAUUGGAACGAUACAGAAGAAGAUUAAGCAUGGCCCCUGCGCAAGCAUUUGUGGCAGCUGAACUGCAUGAUGAAUUA